CCGCCUGGGGAGUACGGCCGCAAGGUUAAAACUCAAAUGAAUUGACGGGGGCCCGCACAAGCGGUGGAGCAUGUGGUUUAAUUCGAUGCAACGCGAAGAACCUUACCUGGUCUUGACAUCCACGGAAGAAUUCAGAGAUGGAUUUGUGCCUUCGGGAACCGUGAGACAGGUGCUGCAUGGCUGUCGUCAGCUCGUGUUGUGAAAUGUUGGGUUAAGUCCCGCAACGAGCGCAACCCUUAUCCUUUGUUGCCAGCGAUUAGGUCGGGAACUCAAAGGAGACUGCCAGUGAUAAACUGGAGGAAGGUGGGGAUGACGUCAAGUCAUCAUGGCCCUUACGACCAGGGCUACACACGUGCUACAAUGGCGCAUACAAAGAGAAGCGACCUCGCGAGAGCAAGCGGACCUCAUAAAGUGCGUCGUAGUCCGGAUUGGAGUCUGCAACUCGACUCCAUGAAGUCGGAAUCGCUAGUAAUCGUGGAUCAGAAUGCCACGGUGAAUACGUUCCCGGGCCUUGUACACACCGCCCGUCACACCAUGGGAGUGGGUUGCAAAAGAAGUAGGUAGCUUAACCUUCGGGAGGGCGCUUACCACUUUGUGAUUCAUGACUGGGGUGAAGUCGUAACAAGGUAACCGUAGGGGAACCUGCGGUUGGAUCACCUCCUUACCUUAAAGAAGC
RNAcentral lists this ribosomal RNA (676 nucleotides) under Salmonella enterica subsp. enterica serovar Mbandaka. RNAcentral describes it as "bacterial SSU rRNA". It matches the Rfam family "Bacterial small subunit ribosomal RNA", at positions 869 to 1533 of the family's 1533-position model. The record is from RNAcentral. Lineage: Bacteria; Pseudomonadati; Pseudomonadota; Gammaproteobacteria; Enterobacterales; Enterobacteriaceae.